UUGCACCAGCCCAUUUCAAACACUGAGCCAGCCCACCAUUUUUCUUUUCUUCGUUACAACAACCAGCAAUUCAACAACAAACGACAUCAUCAACUAAACCCUAGGCUCCUCCCUUUUGUUUACCUUUUUACCCUCGCGAUCAGCCAUUUUUGGCUAGAAUGUUCAUCAUCUUCUCUUGCUCAAGCAACACUUGUGUGUUCUUGGCAAAAUCGCGCCGAAACAUAGCAGAGCAUGAACACACAUUAACGAUCGAGAGGGAUAAAGGCGAGAGGAGGAUUUCUUGGGGAAAAACUUGAGGGUUUUGGAGGUGUGCACUUCUAACCCUACGUAACCAAGAAAUUUUCAGAACACCCUCAAAAUCCAUCAAAAUGGUUUGAAUUCCAAUAGCGCAUUGAAAUCGCGGUGGAAGUUGUUCCGACGAAGUUUUGAAGUCCUGGUAUCUCUGCCCAUAAGAAGGUAAAAUCCCCUCACUCCAUUGCUCUUAAUAUAAUUCUGAAUCAUCGGGUUUAGUUAGGUUGUCAUGUGACGCUUUAAAUCAUCUUAAAUGUUGGUCUUGGUUGUUCAUGACUGUGAAUCAUUUUCUUGGAUUCUUAUUUAUCAUCUGUUUUUUUAGAGAAUUAUUGGUUACGGCUAAAUUAAAAAUAAUCCAAUUAACGAGCGUGUACACUUAUGUCUCCGGUAUUCCUUACUCAAUGUUUGAUCAAAGUAUUUUGCUUCUCUUAUUUUUUUUUUUGUACCCCGUCUUUUAUGGUUUAAAGUUGCUUAUAAAAAUCUUUUCCUGUGAUUUUCAGUACGUAUGAGGUUAAAAAAGAAUUGGUCUUGGAUUCAAAAUAGAGAAAAUCCCUGAAAAAAUGUUUUAGUUUUGCUUGUUAUAUGCAAUAAUAUGCUUCCGUGUGCCUCGUUUCACUUGGUGAUUCAAAACAUACAAGUUAUCGAUAUUAAGUACCAUGGUCUAUUAAGCAUUUUCCAUCAGGUAUUGGUAGAAGUAAAUGAUCAUGUUGUUUCGCACAGUUAUUUCAGAAUCUUAAUGGUGGUCAUUUUUCUCGUAUGAUUAGCUAGUCGUUUCAGUCGAUAUUUCUAAUUAUAAAAGAACAUACAGUAGGUUUUAGUCUUGUAUUCGGUAAAUAUGCAUAGGAAUGUAAAAUUUAAUUACUAGUCUUCACUAUUGUAUGUCAUCUUCAAUGGUUUUAAAUUUAUCACUAGAAGUAAGAUAUGACGGUUUGAAAUUCCACACCUAAUUGCAUUCAAGUUCGUUAGUUUCCACUGGUUAGCUAAAAUAAAAUUGGUUAGCAUGAGUUAGCUGCUAAAGCUCCAUGUCAAGGUUUCAAUUUGAGUGCUUUGUUUACUAUAGAAGCACAUAUUUUUCUGGAAAGUCACUGCCUUUUCCUUGGUUUAAAUCUUCAAAUAUCCUGAUCUUAUUUGUUUACAUUGUAAUGUUCCUAUAUAUACAUAGACACGCGCACACUCUUUCUUGAUUUUUGUUUCUUGACUUGAGUUUUUCGAUAUGUCAUACUCUUAAAUCUCUCAUACAAAGAAGUUUUUUUCUCUUUCUUUUCGGACAUUAAUUGAGUCUACAAAUUUGCACCUUUCUUGAAUUGUUAGUCCCACUGAUGAUUGCUCGUGAAAUAAUAUGAUAGAUUAAAUGUCUUUGUUAAGCACUUGAAUUUGUUCUUUUCUUCUAAAGCCCAUUUAAAUUAUUAUGUGCUAUGACGUUAGUUAAUUCUAAUGUUGACUCAUUUCCCUCUUAUGCAUGUAAUCCAUCAUGAGUCCAUAUUGGACUCUUCUCCAAUCCUCUUGUAUUUUUCGGGGCCAAGCCCCAAUCCUCCCGAAUCAAGCCCUAUCAAAGUCCAAAAUGGGCUAAUAGAUGAAGAAAACGGGACUGAUUUGUGGCGAUAUACAGAUGAUAUACGAGAAGGAUAUUGAUAUACAGGUUACAAAAUGUAGAAAUGCUGAUGUUAAGGUUCACAUGGGGAUGAUAUACGUCCCAAUAUGCAUUGGAUAUAUAGGAACAGGAAUUGUGAUAUACAAGUUAAUAUACAUGCAGGAAAGUGGACCCAAUGUCCAUAAAAUUCGAAGCCCAAAAGCUGGGCAGCUUAUUGAUGGGCCAAGGAAAGGCCCAACUUCAGUUCCUGACUUCAUUCUUUGUAACUUAUGAUUUAUCUCUGUUUAUUUAUAUUAACUAACACUUUAAUCAAUUAAUCUAGACAAAUCCCCUAAGGCAUUGUCAUUUUAUUUA
Capsicum annuum is the source of this 2236-nucleotide long non-coding RNA. RefSeq lists it as uncharacterized. The transcript is spliced from 2 exons. The record is from RefSeq and is a predicted model, not a curated record. NCBI's taxonomy places the organism in Eukaryota, Viridiplantae, Streptophyta, Magnoliopsida, Solanales, Solanaceae.